RNAcentral lists this long non-coding RNA (839 nucleotides) under Helianthus annuus (common sunflower). RNAcentral describes it as "sRNA HanXRQr2_Chr07g0315861". The record is from RNAcentral. Lineage: Eukaryota; Viridiplantae; Streptophyta; Magnoliopsida; Asterales; Asteraceae.
AUGUUUCAGGUGAUCUGUGUGAUCCAGGAAAAGUGCAGUAAAGCACUAUCAAGCUCAGAGAAGUGGCUCAGUGAACCCCAGCUACAAGGAUGAAGAAGGUGGCGAGUAAUGUAGUGAAGAAACGAGUCUUUGAAUUGUUUGCACCUUUCAAUGGCAUAUGUAGUCUGCUGCUGCUUUAGCUGUUGAAUUAUGCAUAUGGAGUGUAGUUGCUGAUUUUUACAGAAGGUCGUCUGAGCCGUACAAUGAAUGUGGUAGGUCACAACCUACAUCUGAUGCGCUUUCAAAAGGGAAAGAAAAAGGCGACGAAUGAACGCCUAGAUAUGGCUGGUGUAAAGGACAUGUAAAAUUGAUAUUGUUGGAAGAUCCUGCUAGCAAAGAGAGAAAUCUUAUUGGCAAUAAAUAAGAAUGCUAAUGUACAAGCGUUUAAUGUAGUUAUGAAAGUGAGAAUCGAAGUGGGUAAAAAUCAAUGUAUUCAAGUUUGUUUGACAAGGGCAACAUUCGAUUCAGGAGUUGGGAGCCUAAGGAUGACUGGCAGAAGGAGAAAAUGGACUUUAUUCAAGGCGUGAGCCGCAUUUCGACAUUACCAAGGACCAAUGUAAAAGAGUCAAGCAAGCUUUAGAGCUAGAAGUUUAGGAUAAGUGUAAAUAUCUAGCUCUCAUGUUUUAAUAGGUUCGUCUAGCAUGGAGCUUAUGCAAGUAGCUGAUAAGGCAACCAUAGAUAAAAGGUUGAAGCUUAUGUUGAGGUUUUUAGGACUCUCAAUGAUGCUAGACAACAUGUUAGACAAAGAUGUUGAUUGAGUAUAUCAAGCCCUUACUUGAUUUUUGUGAUCAAGUGUUAUU